AGUGAACGCUGGCGGUAGGUCUAACACAUGCAAGUCGAACGGCAGCACAGUAAGAGCUUGCUCUUACGGGUGGCGAGUGGCGGACGGGUGGGGAAUACAUCGGAAUUUACUUUUUCGGGGUGGUUAACGUUGGGAAACUUACGCUAAUACCGCAUACGACCCUCGGGUUAAAGCAGGGGAUCUUCGGACCUUGCGCGAUUGAAUUAGCCGAAGCCGGAUUAGCUAGUUGGCGGGGUAAAGGCCCACCAAGGCGACGAUCCGUAGCUGGUCUGAGAGGAUGAUCAGCCACACUGGAACUGAGACACGGUCCAGACUCCUACGGGAGGCAGCAGUGGGGAAUAUUGGACAAUGGGCGCAAGCCUGAUCCAGCCAUACCGAGUGGGUGAAGAAGGCCUUCGGGUUGUAAAGCCCUUUUGUUGGGAAAGAAAAGCAGCAGGUUAAUACCCCGCUGUUCUGACGGUACCCAAAGAAUAAGCACCGGCUAACUUCGUG
This 492-nucleotide ribosomal RNA is filed under the name uncultured bacterium. RNAcentral's name for it is "partial 16S ribosomal RNA". It matches the Rfam family "Bacterial small subunit ribosomal RNA", at positions 29 to 507 of the family's 1533-position model. The record is from RNAcentral.